RNAcentral lists this ribosomal RNA (446 nucleotides) under uncultured methanogenic archaeon. Its description in RNAcentral is "bacterial SSU rRNA". It matches the Rfam family "Archaeal small subunit ribosomal RNA", at positions 541 to 986 of the family's 1478-position model. Lineage: Archaea; Methanobacteriati; Methanobacteriota. The record is from RNAcentral.
CUUGGGAAAUCCGACGGCUUAACCGUCGGGCGUCUAAGGGAUACUGGCAAUCUUGGAACCGGGAGAGGUGAGGGGUACUUCGGGGGUAGGAGUGAAAUCCUGUAAUCCUCGAGGGACCACCUGUGGCGAAGGCGCCUCACCAGAACGGCUUCGACAGUGAGGGACGAAAGCUGGGGGAGCAAACCGGAUUAGAUACCCGGGUAGUCCCAGCCGUAAACGAUGUGCGUUAGGUGUAUCGGUGACCACGAGUCACCGAGGUGCCGAAGGGAAACCGUGAAACGUACCGCCUGGGAAGUACGGUCGCAAGGCUGAAACUUAAAGGAAUUGGCGGGGGAGCACCACAACAGGUGGAGCCUGCGGUUUAAUUGGACUCAACGCCGGAAAUCUCACCGGAUAAGACAGCUGAAUGAUUGUCGGGCUGAAGACUCUACAUGACUAGCUGAGAG